UGGGCUGGCCGGGCGACCGCGCCGUACUCCUCGGAGUACGUCGAGGAAGGUCCGGGCUCCACAGGGCAGGGUGGUGGGUAACGCCCACCCGGGGUGACCCGCGGGACAGUGCCACAGAGAACAGACCGCCUCCGGGCUCGGGCAACCGGGCCGGGGGGUAAGGGUGAAACGGUGGUGCAAGAGACCACCAGCGGCUCGGGCGACCGAGCUGGCUAGGUAAACCCCACCCGGAGCAAGGUCAAGAAGCCGCGGUUUCGCACCGCGGUGCGCGUGCGUUCGAGGGCGGCCCGCCCGAGCACGCGGGUAGAUCGCUGGAGGCUGUCGGCAACGGCAGUCGUAGAUGGAUGGUCGCCACCCGGACGCCCGCAAGGGCCCCGGGGACAGAACCCGGCCUACAGGUCAGCCCGUCCG
RNAcentral lists this RNase P RNA (411 nucleotides) under Nocardioides sp. dk884. RNAcentral's name for it is "Bacterial RNase P class A". It matches the Rfam family "Bacterial RNase P class A". Rfam says of the family: Ribonuclease P (RNase P) is a ubiquitous endoribonuclease, found in archaea, bacteria and eukarya as well as chloroplasts and mitochondria. Its best characterised activity is the generation of mature 5'-ends of tRNAs by cleaving the 5'-leader elements of precursor-tRNAs. Lineage: Bacteria; Bacillati; Actinomycetota; Actinomycetes; Propionibacteriales; Nocardioidaceae. RNAcentral also lists the same sequence under 1 other name. The record is from Rfam by way of RNAcentral.